GCUGGCUGGGACUCAGUGGCAGAACAUCUGCUUUGUAUGCAGAAGGUCUCUGGUUUAAUUCCCAGAAGCUCCAGCU
Non-coding RNA from Podarcis lilfordi (Lilford's wall lizard), 76 nucleotides. The record is from the annotation of a GenBank genome assembly. NCBI's taxonomy places the organism in Eukaryota, Metazoa, Chordata, Lepidosauria, Squamata, Lacertidae.